Molecule: long non-coding RNA, 122 nt
Organism: Nomascus leucogenys (northern white-cheeked gibbon)
Lineage: Eukaryota; Metazoa; Chordata; Mammalia; Primates; Hylobatidae
Exons: 3
Source: RefSeq, a predicted model, not a curated record
GAGGACCAAAGAACAGGUUGAGCACAGAGGAUUUUUAGGGCAGUGAAGAUACUCUGUAUGAUACCAUAAUGGUGUAUACAUGUCAUUAUAGCUUUGUCCAAACCCAUAGAAUCCACAACACC